AUGGCGCUAACAAAAGUUGCUCUCUUCCUUGCCCUCAACCUUGGUCUCAUUUCUAUUGUGCAUGGUAACCCUCCAAUGGUUCCUACACCACCUUUGGUGCCUACCCCACCUAUUGCACCGACACCAUCGAAUGGUGGUUCCUGCCCAAUCAACCCACUAAAGAUAACUGUGUGCAGCAAUGUAUUGUUGCUACUCAAGCUCCGGAUCAACGUGCCGGAGACCGAACAAUGUUGCCCACUGCUUAGUGGGUUGGCUGAUCUAGAUGCCGCUGUCUGUGUUUGCACUGCCAUCAAGGCCAACCUCCUUGGCCUCAUCGACAUCGACAUUCCCGUCGACCUGACCCUCCUACUCAACCAUUGUAACAAGACAUAUCCCUCUAGUUUCACCUGCUCGCCAUGA
This 399-nucleotide ribosomal RNA is filed under the name Triticum aestivum (bread wheat). RNAcentral describes it as "partial small subunit ribosomal RNA". The record is from RNAcentral. Lineage: Eukaryota; Viridiplantae; Streptophyta; Magnoliopsida; Poales; Poaceae.